Molecule: unclassified non-coding RNA, 153 nt
Filed under: Volvox kirkiorum
Lineage: Eukaryota; Viridiplantae; Chlorophyta; Chlorophyceae; Chlamydomonadales; Volvocaceae
Description: ITS1
Source: RNAcentral
AAUCUAUCAACACUCCACAACACUGUGCACAAACCAUGUUGGCCUCGCCUCAUUUCAUGUGAGGCGUGGGUCUUUUGCCAACCAACCAAAACCAAACUAAAGCCAAAUGAUACCUGAGGGCGCAGCUUAGAGUUGCGUCUUCUCAAACCAAGA